CUCAGUUUUAAUCAGACUACACAGAGGACAGGACAGAGCUCAAGGAGGCAAUGAUACAACAACGGAGUGAACAAAGAAACAGACAGAGACGGGUAGAAAAAUGGAUAAGAUAAGAGGCAGGAUAAGAGGCAGGAUAAGAGGCAGGAUAAGAGGCAGGAUAAGAGGCAGGAUAAGAGGCAGGUUAAGAGGCAGGAUAAGAGGCAGGUUAAGAGGCAGGUUAAGAGGCAGGAUAAGAGGCAGGAUAAGAGGCAGGAUAAGAGGCAGGAUAAGAGGCAGGAUAAGAGGCAGGAUAAGAGGCAGGAUAAGAGGCAGGAUAAGAGGCAGGAUAAGAGGCAGGAUAAGAGGCAGGAUAAGAGGCAGGAUAAGAGGCAGGAUAAGAGGCAGGAUAAGAGGCAGGAUAAGAGGCAGGAUAAGAGGCAGGAUAAGAGGCAGGAUAAGAGGCAGGAUAAGAGGCAGGUUAAGAGGCAGGAUAAGAGGCAGGAUAAGAGACAGGAUAAGAGGCAGGAUAAGCGAAUAAACUACCAAGCCCCUCCCCCCUCCCUCUUUCUGGGUGAUUGACUUAGAGAGAAAAGAUGAAUGUCAAAACUUCCACUAUGAUUAAAGUUAAAACUGGUGUACAUUCUAA
This is a long non-coding RNA of Oncorhynchus keta (chum salmon), 625 nucleotides long. RefSeq lists it as uncharacterized. The transcript has 4 exons. Lineage: Eukaryota; Metazoa; Chordata; Actinopteri; Salmoniformes; Salmonidae. The record is from RefSeq and is a predicted model, not a curated record.